This 497-nucleotide ribosomal RNA is filed under the name uncultured bacterium. RNAcentral's name for it is "partial 16S ribosomal RNA". It matches the Rfam family "Bacterial small subunit ribosomal RNA", at positions 28 to 507 of the family's 1533-position model. The record is from RNAcentral.
GAUGAACGCUGGCGGCGUGCCUAAUACAUGCAAGUCGAGCGAACAGAUGAGGAGCUUGCUCCUCUGACGUUAGCGGCGGACGGGUGAGUAACACGUGGAUAACCUACCUAUAAGACUGGGAUAACUUCGGGAAACCGGAGCUAAUACCGUAUAAUAUAUUGAACCGCAUGGUUCAAUAGUGAAAGACGGUUUUGCUGUCACUUAUAGAUGGAUCCGCGCCGGAUUAGCUAGUUGGUAAGGUAACGGCUUACCAAGGCAACCAUGCGUAGCCGACCUGAGAGGGUGGUCGGCCACACGGGAACUGAGACACGGUCCAGACUCCUACGGGAGGCAGCAGUAGGGAAUCUUCCGCAAUGGGCGAAAGCCUGACGGAGCAACGGCGCGUGAGUGAUGAAGGUCUUCGGAUCGUAAAACUCUGUUAUUAGGGAAGAACAAAUGUGUAAGGAACUAUGCACGGCUUGACGGUACCUAAUCAGAAAGCCACGGCUAACUACGUG